ACGCUCGACACCUACGGGAGGAGCAGUGGGGAAUAUUGCACAAUGGGGGAAACCCUGAUGCAGCGAUGCCGCGUGAAGGAAGAAGUAUCUCGGUAUGUAAACUUCUAUCAGCAGGGAAGAAAAUGACGGUACCUGACUAAGAAGCCCCGGCUAACUACGUGCAGCAGCCGCGGUAAUCUGAGCGGGCUGGCAAGGC
Molecule: ribosomal RNA, 196 nt
Filed under: uncultured bacterium
Lineage: Bacteria
Description: partial 16S ribosomal RNA
Rfam family: Bacterial small subunit ribosomal RNA
Source: RNAcentral